Long non-coding RNA from Sycon ciliatum, 1706 nucleotides. RefSeq lists it as uncharacterized. The transcript has 2 exons. Lineage: Eukaryota; Metazoa; Porifera; Calcarea; Leucosolenida; Sycettidae. The record is from RefSeq and is a predicted model, not a curated record.
UCCAUUUCUUUAUCCACACACCGAACCUGCAUGAAUCACACCAGAUGAACUGCCUGGCAAUUCUGCCAAUUGUUCUGCCGGCGUUAUCCAGCCAGAGCUACUCCUAUCUGGUGUGUUAUCGCCAAAUAAUUCUGGUGUCCAGCACCACCCAUUCCAAGCCCAGUAUGGGACGAAAGCAGAGUUUUAGGCGAAUACCUGAGUCGAGUCACGUGUGCCUGGCUGUAGAAGAAGCACAUGAUUGCACAUCAAGAUCGCCAGACGACAUCGUGUUUCGUGCAAGGUAGAACGGCAUGCGGGGAAUACCCUAGCUUGGGCCUAGUAUAGGGACUCGCAGGCUCGCUGUCUCCAGCUACAUGUACACGUACGCACACAAUGGCACAGGGAGCUGUUUAAGUUAGUUUGUUGGAACUGUGCCUAACCAGCUGACCACAGCUGUUUCGGCGGAACUCUACCAGACUUGGAAAAACAGCGUCAACACUGUACGACUGAGUCUUCCGUACCGAUUGAUCCUGGCUUCACCAAGGCCAGGAAAAGUAUGUCGGAGGCCUUAUCGCAGAGACUGUCGCACGCACGUGUUUUACUGACUACUGUCUUGAUAGCACAGUCACGAUCAAGUCGCCGACGUGAGCCUCGCACGCGGCCUGCGAGUAGCUAACCAGUUACCUCCAACGCUAGCAGCAGGUAACUGGUUAUCUAUACUGGUACAGCCGAACAUUUCGCCUAUAAAUACGGGAGGAGCGCACAUUUUUCGGUAUCUUUUUUCAAACGUUUGGGGCUGUGUGCCCGGUGGUGUCCGGUGCUUUUGUUUUGUUUUUUUUCUUCAUCAAAAGAUCUCAAGUUCUCGAUGUGACGACAACAGCUAACGUUCGCAUCAAAAUCUCCUUUGGUUUCCGUCUGCAGUGGAAACCAAUGUUUGUCCAAGUCGCAGAGUUGGAUCGCUAGUUCGUGUGUAGAGUCGUAUGGACGCUACAGUAAGCUAGCGUAGGCAGCUGGGCUUGCGUGCUCAUGCGACCCACGACGCAAGCUCCCGGUGCGGCCCCGUCCGCCCGGAAUCGUAUUGGUUCUCUUCACCGUUAGUCUUCUUCCCCAGUCUUCUUUUCUAUCCGCAUUUAUCUUCCGUUCCGGGAUCAGUCGUCGUUCUGGCUUACCAGUAGGCCAGAAGAGAUCGCUGUCAAAAGGCCGGAUACCUCUAGCAAUGAGCUGUGUCAACAAUAUGUGCUCACAGCCUACCGUCCCGGCUGGCGACCACCGUGCAGUGGUGGGAUGGCUUCAUCUUGGUCGACACCUACGCGCAUACACACACGCUGCUCGCAGUAUUGGUGGUGGUGUUGCCCGUGGCGUGCGGCCAAGAACAAAGAGUCGCCGCUUUUAUCAUGAACUCCCCAAUAAGGCUCAUUGCGUUUCGUCAGCUGAUCUCUCUGCCUGAUAACACAAGCACAGGGUUAUGUGCUCUUGUUGUUUUAUGGUAGCUGGACUUUGCUCUAUCUGGCGACUGAUCUAUUUGUGUACACAUGUUUCUUGGUCGUAGUAAUAGUAAUACGCAGCUACUUGUCUCUGAUUUUUCACGUUUUUUUCUUUCUUUUCUUUCUGAGCGUCGAUUUCUGCUCGUGUCCAUGUGUCAGGCGUAGUAAUGGUUUCACAUUCUGCAAAAAAUUAUUACGGAUAUGUGCAUGUACGUGUUCGUGCUGUGCAUAGUCCAGUCACAA